UAGCUCUGAAGCGCCACCAGCUUCCUGGGGCAAACCAGAAUGGCGAAGCCCUGGAACAGUGAUAUUCACUUCGAAGAAGGCUAUCUCGGAUCUCUCUUCUGGAAUGGAGGUGUGUGAUGCCAAGCUCGUGAAUUUGUCUAUGAUAUGAGCGGUGACAAGAAUUUGAUUUGAAUUUUGAGGUGAAAAAUUGGGGGCAAUUAUGCCCAUAAAAAGUUAAGCUCGAUUUACUGUAGCAUUGAGUUUUUGGAACUGAGGGUGACCCCAAGUUGAAUUUUCGGUGUUGAAUAGUGAUUUUGCAUCGGGCCAGUGACAUAAUGCGGGCCUUCCACUUUAUUGGACUUACAAAU
Molecule: long non-coding RNA, 347 nt
Filed under: Salvia miltiorrhiza (redroot sage)
Lineage: Eukaryota; Viridiplantae; Streptophyta; Magnoliopsida; Lamiales; Lamiaceae
Description: long non-coding RNA (SMIL_LNC000753)
Source: RNAcentral